Molecule: ribosomal RNA, 229 nt
Filed under: uncultured bacterium
Lineage: Bacteria
Description: partial 16S ribosomal RNA
Rfam family: Bacterial small subunit ribosomal RNA
Source: RNAcentral
UGAGCAAUCUGCCCUUCACAUCGGAAUAACCAUUGGAAACGAUGGCUAAUACCGAAUAUGACUUCGGAUCGCAUGAUCUGAAGUGGAAAGCUCCGGCGGUGAAGGAUGAGCUCGCGGCCUAUCAGCUUGUUGGUGAGGUAACGGCCCACAAGGCGACGACGGGUAGCCGGCCUGAGAGGGUCGACCGGCCACACUGGGACUGAGACACGGCCCAGACCUCGUACGGGGA